UAAACUCAAAUUUGUAUGGAGUUGGAACGUUCGCCUACGUAUGCCGCUAGGGGCGCUGUUACAACUGCAUACAGAUGUGUUC
This 82-nucleotide microRNA precursor is filed under the name Bombyx mori (domestic silkworm). RNAcentral's name for it is "mir-2807 microRNA precursor family". It matches the Rfam family "mir-2807 microRNA precursor family". The record is from Rfam by way of RNAcentral. Lineage: Eukaryota; Metazoa; Arthropoda; Insecta; Lepidoptera; Bombycidae.